This 433-nucleotide ribosomal RNA is filed under the name uncultured bacterium. RNAcentral's name for it is "partial 16S ribosomal RNA". It matches the Rfam family "Bacterial small subunit ribosomal RNA", at positions 29 to 507 of the family's 1533-position model. The record is from RNAcentral.
AACGAACGCUGGCGGCAUGCCUAACACAUGCAAGUCGAACGAGCCCUUCGGGUCUAGUGGCGCACGGGUGCGUAACGCGUGGGAACCUGCCCUUAGGUUCGGAAUAACUCCCCGAAAGGGGUGCUAAUACCGGAUAAUGUCUUCGGACCAAAGAUUUAUCGCCUUUGGAUGGGCCCGCGUUGGAUUAGCUAGUUGGUAGGGUAAAAGCAUACCAAGGCGACGAUGCAUAGCUGGUCUGAGAGGAUGGUCAGCCACACUGGGACGAAGACACGGCCCAGACUCCUCCGGGAUGGAGGAAUGGGUAAUAGUGGACCAUGGGCGAAAGCCUGAUCCAGCAAUGCCGCGUGAGUGAUGAAGGCCGUAGGGUUGUAAAGCUCUUUUAACCGGGAUGAUAAUGACAGUACCGGGAGAAUAAGCUCCGGCUAACUCCGUG